UACACAAAUAGCCCUCCCAACAAUAUUACUUAUUUUCAGUUUAGCAGUUCAAAAACUGACGUUUUUCGUCAGAGCCCUUCUGAAUGUUCGUUUGCACUCAAAUUUGACAGUUAGGCUCGGUUUAAACUAAUAAGAAGAAAGAAAUUUUAAUCUUUCAGUUUGGACCAUUUUUGGUUACCGAAAGCUCUACUGAUUAGAAUCUCUUGCAGAUACCAGUUAGAUUUUAUUUUUCACUUUCUGGAUGUCGAAAUGAUAUGAAACUUUAAAUCUAGCCUCAUAAAAAUAAUCCCGACAUAUUUUCAGAUUUUCAUAAUUUUCUAAUACUGUGAAUUUUCUACUAAAAGAUCAGCCCCGUUUCUUAUAGAAAAUUCUAAAUCUUCUGUUUCUGUUCCAGUUUCAGCACAAGUCAUUUCCAACUUAUAUUUUACUUCUUUAAGUCCAAUAAAAAUAGUAUCUUACACUAUUUUUAUUUACACUUACUUUUACAUUAAGAAUCCGGUACAUUACAAACACGCUUAGAACGAAGCGACAAUGAAUGAAUUGAACCGAUUUAAUGGUGCGGGCAAUAAACGAAGCUAACCGGUCAAACAAUAAGAAGAGGAACCGGUAGUUCAAUUACUUUGAGGAGGGAAGGAGCGGCAAUGUACCCGGUCAAUUUUUCAUCUAGAGGAAACACGUUCGGAACGAAGCGACAAUAAAUGAAUUGAACUGGUUUAAUGGUAGGGGCAACAAACGAAACGAACCGGUGUAACAAGAGAAGAGGAAUCGGUGGUUUAAUCACUCUGAGGAGGGAAGAAGGAGUGGCGAUGUACCUGGUCAAUUUUUUGUCUAGAGGAACGAAGCGACAAUAAAUGAAUUGAACCGAUUUAAUGGUAGGGGCAAAAAAUGAAACGAACCGGUCUAACAAUAAGAAGAGGAACCAGUGGUUCAAUUAAAAAAAA
RNAcentral lists this long non-coding RNA (941 nucleotides) under Ananas comosus (pineapple). RNAcentral's name for it is "long non-coding RNA (ACOM_LNC005373)". Lineage: Eukaryota; Viridiplantae; Streptophyta; Magnoliopsida; Poales; Bromeliaceae. The record is from RNAcentral.